CAUUCCCUAAGGGCAGGAACUGCAGUCCUCUUUGUUUACCUCUUUAUGCCCAGAGCCCAAAACAUCUGACAAAUUUGCUCAUCUCUGUCCUGAGGUAGGAGAGUCAUCGGUCUGUCCAAGGAAAUCAAAGUGGACAAGGAACAUCAAAGUGGUCGGUGUGAACGGCUGAUACAGACUGAGCCAGGAAGACAAUGGAAGGAGAUGAGGUCAAAAGUGGUAACCAAGGGGUGUAGAAGGAAGAUAGAGAUCAAGCAGCGGCUUGAAUAACUUGAAAAGACUUUGGCUUUUUCUCAGAGUGAGUUGAGAAGUCCUUGGACAGUAUUGAGUAGGUGUAACAUGAUCUGAUGUGUUUUUAAAAAUUCACUCUAUCUGCGGGUUGAAAAUAAAUCACUAUUCAAGGUCA
Felis catus (domestic cat) is the source of this 403-nucleotide long non-coding RNA. RefSeq lists it as uncharacterized. The transcript has 2 exons. The record is from RefSeq and is a predicted model, not a curated record. Lineage: Eukaryota; Metazoa; Chordata; Mammalia; Carnivora; Felidae.